CUCCCUCUGUGCACUCGACGGGGCGCUGGGGGUCCGGGAGGAAGUGUGCACGCUGGGGGGCACGGCUCGGCCCAGAAGCCGCCAUCCGCAUCAUGUAAGAAGGGCUUUUCGCCUCCCGCCAUGAUUCUGAGGCCUCCCCAGCCAUGUGGAACUCUGACAGGCUGCGGUCACCACUGCCACCACCACUCUGAAUUAUUCAAGACCCUCCAGGCCUCAGUGGCAGCCCUUCCCCUCUCCCUGUACAACCGGGCUGUCAACACCAGCCUCUGAGCCUCUGCCAGUGAUCUAUGGACCUCAGGGCCCCCGAGCUUUGGCCUGCUCAGGCUCUGCUUGUCAUGGCUGAAAUCCCCUGGACUGCAUUGGGACCAUACCGCUGAGAGUCUGGUCGCUGGGCUUCAGGCUGACAGAACAUCAGAGCCCCAGGACCGAAGAGCCACAGGUUGGGAAGCUGCCACCACUGGGAAUGGUACAUUCAGGAGGGCAUGGUUUUACAGAGAAGUUUGAGGCCCAGAGAUGUGUGAGCUGCACUCCAAGUCACACAGCAAGUUUGGUUCAUUAGCAGGGACCGCCACGGAACGGGCUGCAGGCCGCGAGUGUAGAGCUUGGCUGGGCCAGAUCGAUAUCUGCCCGCUGGACUGAUGCGCGAGGGAGGCUGCGAGACAGGCUAGCUUUGCUGCAGUGUGAUGGCCGUGCAGCACCCACCGACCCCCACAGCUCCCCCACCCCGCCAUUUCCUUCAUCUAGCGCUCCAGGGGAAACCGAGGCGGGCAAGUGGCGUAGCGAUGGAGGGCGCACCCAGGGGCAACGACGCUCCCUCGCUCUGGCUCCCAGCUCUGGUGGCGGGGGUGAGGGUAGCCCAGGGUCGCACCCUGCUCCCAACCUCGGCUCGUCCCCACCCUCCACGGUCGUCCGCAGCUCUGCGUUUCUGCCAGUAUCGUGACCCCUCGCCCCGUCCUUCGCCCUCCUCCCACUUUCAUUGUGUGUCUCCUCUCUGGCUCUGAGGUUCCUCCUCCCUCCCUUCUCUCUCUGGGUGUCUCCGUGUCUAUCUCCACAUCUCCAUCUCCAUUUCUUUCUCUGCCUGUCUCUGCCUCUAGCUGUCUCUGUCCCUCAGUCUCUGCUCAGGUCUCCGCUCGCCUCUUGCUCAUUUUCGUUCCUCCCUUUGUCUGUCUGACUCUCUCUUCUCUCCCCCGCUUCAGUCACCCCCCAACCCCCCGCACACACACACACCUCACAGCCCUGUUUACGACAUCCCCUGGGCUGGCAGGUAGGCGGGGCUGCAGCAGGCGGGGGUGAGAGAGGGAGACGCAGCCUCCCCCCCAGCUGUUAACCUUCACGCUUCAGGCCUCUGCGGAUGGCAGAGGAGGGGGAAAGCCCAGCUGCCAGCUUGGCGGAGGUGACCGGGCGGGGGUUGGGGGCUGUCCCUCCCUCUGGGCUCGUCUCUGGGGAGAUCUGGGGCCGGAAGGAAUGUGGUGGAGGCUGCCUUCGGCUGAGGAAGGCUGUUGCCGGAUGGGUGGCCUCCUGAAGGCUUGUGCUGGCGAGGCGGGUGCCCAAAGGGGGCUCUGAGCGGUGUCGGCCCUGCCCGCAGCCCGGCCGGACGUGGGGGCCGGCGUGAGAAUCCCGCCCAUCUGUGAGCCGGCCUCACGCCGUCAGACCCAAUUUAUCUCGCCGCCAAAGUUUCACAGCCAUCUGCUCGAGUGGAACGGCUUCCAGCGCUGGCCCCACCGGGCCCCCCAGCCAGCGCGGGGAUGUUUUCCAAUACGACAGCAUUGCCCCCCCAAAGCAAGGAGGGGGUGUAGGGGGAGGCGGCAGAGCGCGGUGCGCGGGGCUGGCAGGCAGCCCUCUCCCGCGAGCGAGCCGACCCUGAAUUUUAAGCGAUUGAUCAGGAAGCGCAGGCCGUUCCCAUCACUUUGAGCAGCCAAAUGCGACGGCGCAGGGAUUUCAAGGGGCCUUUGCGGAGGCGGUAAUGAGGUCACCGUCACUGCGCCAGCCCGCGGGCGGGAGGGGGCGAAGGUCUGCGGACACGUGUGAACACAGCCUGUGAACGGAGCCACAUCUGUAUUCACGUGACCCCCGGGGCCCCAGCACUGACCCAGGAGAACUCGGCAUUUGGAUCUGAGCUGAUUCACACUCCGCCGCCCCCAGCCCACCUCCCCAACCAGACAGGGUCGGAGAGACUGAGCUAGAACCCACCCUUGCCACAUCCAUGAUUCCAUGAUCACCUCAGACAGCUUCAGCGCAGGAGCUUCCACUCUCUUCUCCUCCCCGCUAUGUGCCUAAAAUACACAUAUUUGGGCACCUGCCCAUUGCACUUGUGAACAAGCCUGCAGAGACAGAUGUACCCUAGGCCCCCGGUAAUCACACAGGUGCACACAUUACAAUUACACACCUGACCGCAAUGCUCAUGCAUUGGUACACUCCCAACCAUCACCACUACCAGCCCCAAACAUGCACACAGGUACUCCAUCAUUCUCAAGUCAGCCACCCAGCAACACACGAGACCCCAAACUCCCCUCCCCCCGGGCACACGCAUGUGCACACUCAUUCCCAAGACCCCGAGCUUGCUGCCAUGUCCGGGCGGGUGGGCGCCUCCACUGCCCGCCAGGCAGCGGGGGUGCAGACCUCGAAGAGAACAAAGGCGGGGCAGGUGGGAGGGAGGGGGGCUGAGCCCCCGGCCCGUCCUCCUAGGCAAUGCUCGUCUGUCUCAGCUCCGCGGCCACCGCAUCGAGCGGCUCUGAUUACCAAGUAAAUCACCGCGAUGAUGUGAAUAAUUAUCGUCUCCUGAAAAGGGAAAAAACAGGGAAUAAAUAAAGGGAGAAGGGAGCAGCCACCUGAUUUCUAGAAGCCCUGGUGUAUGUCAGGGGGGUGAAUACAUAGGGGUGGGUGUCAGUGGCCCCCUGCAGAUCCUCGGGACUUCUGCUGGGAUGCAGUGCAGGUGGGGUAGGAUGGGCCUCAGGGCAGACAGUCCUUCCUUAGAGGUGGCAGUUAGCAUCCAGUCUCCCCUCUUCCUCUCCCCAGGGUAAGUCAGGCCCCCGGAGCACCCAACCAAACCCAGCUGGCCUCUCUGCUCCUCACACACUCAGGCCCACCCGACCUGUAGGGCACCCUCCUGUUCCAGGGCUUUGCUCAGCAGGUUCCCCUCUAGCAUGCCCUCUUCCCACUUCUCUGGCUGGCUUCACUCUCCCAUCUCUGAAGUCCAGCCCCACGUUACUUCCUCUGAGAACUUCUUCCUGACUGCCCAGCCCUCCAGGAUCCUCCUUUCCCAGAGUUCCAGUGUCUGAUUGCAUUUUCCCUGACUGAUUUGGGUGUGUUCUCUUGAUCUUCUCAGCCGGAUGGCAGCUUUGGUGGAAGCAGCUAUGUUUUAAGCAAAGCAGUAAUAGUGGCAACAGCAGCAGCCACUACCCUGUUCUGAGCAUUUAGGAUGUGUUGGCCCUGUGCCAAAACACCCUUUCACGAUGGAUCCUCCCCAGAAUCCUGUGUGGAAAGUAAUGUCUCCAUUUUAGUAAUGGGGAAACUGAGGCUUACCAAGAAUGAAGCUUGGAUUCCUUUCCUCCGGGAUGAAGAUGCUGGUCAUCUACGGCACCUUUUCUGCGCUUGUCACCUGAUCCCACAUAUUGGAGGAGCUGCUCCUCUUCCAGUGCUGAGCACUAAGAACACAAUUACCUCAACUGGCUGGGCACAGUGGCUCACGCCUGUAAUCCCAACACUUUGGGAGGCCAAGGUGGGCAGAUUGCUUGAGCCUAGGAGUUUGAGACCAGCUUGGGCAACAUGACAGAACACGAUCUCUACAAAACAAACAAAUGAAAAACACCAAAAAUUAGCUGGGUAUGGUGGUGUGAGCCUAUAAUUCCAGCAGUUUGGAGAGACUGAAGAGGAAGGAUGAUUUGAGCCCAGGAGGUUGAGGUUGCAGUGAACUGUGAUUGUGCCACUAUACUCCGGCCCGGGCAACAGAGCGAGAC
Long non-coding RNA from Rhinopithecus roxellana (golden snub-nosed monkey), 3956 nucleotides. RefSeq lists it as uncharacterized. The record is from RefSeq and is a predicted model, not a curated record. The transcript has 6 exons. Lineage: Eukaryota; Metazoa; Chordata; Mammalia; Primates; Cercopithecidae.